GACGAACGCUGGCGGCGCGCCUAACACAUGCAAGUCGAACGAGAGAUGAAGAGCUUGCUCUUCAAAUCGAGUGGCGAACGGGUGAGUAACGCGUGAGGAACCUGCCUCAAAGAGGGGGACAACAGUUGGAAACGGCUGCUAAUACCGCAUAAGCCCACGGCUCGGCAUCGAGCAGAGGGAAAAGGAGCAAUCCGCUUUGAGAUGGCCUCGCGUCCGAUUAGCUAGUUGGUGAGGUAACGGCCCACCAAGGCGACGAUCGGUAGCCGGACUGAGAGGUUGAACGGCCACAUUGGGACUGAGACACGGCCCAAACUCCUACGGGAGGCAGCAGUGGGGAAUAUUGCACAAUGGGGGAAACCCUGAUGCAGCGACGCCGCGUGAGUGAUGAAGUAUUUCGGAUGUAAAGCUCUAUCAGCAGGGAAGAUAAUGACGGUACCUGACUAAGAAGCACCGGCUAAAUACGUG
This 465-nucleotide ribosomal RNA is filed under the name uncultured bacterium. RNAcentral's name for it is "bacterial SSU rRNA". It matches the Rfam family "Bacterial small subunit ribosomal RNA", at positions 28 to 507 of the family's 1533-position model. The record is from RNAcentral.